Molecule: ribosomal RNA, 274 nt
Filed under: uncultured bacterium
Lineage: Bacteria
Description: partial 16S ribosomal RNA
Rfam family: Bacterial small subunit ribosomal RNA
Source: RNAcentral
AUACGGAGGGUGCAAGCGUUAUUCGGAAUCACUGGGCGUAAAGGACGCGUAGGCGGGUUGGCAAGUCAGAUGUGAAAUCCUACAGCUUAACUGUAGAACUGCAUUUGAAACUGCUAACCUAGAGUAUGUGAGGGGGAGAUGGAAUUAGUGGUGUAGGGGUAAAAUCCGUAGAUAUCACUAGGAAUACCGAAAGCGAAGGCGAUCUCCUGGAACAUAACUGACGCUAAGGCGUGAAAGCGUGGGGAGCAAACAGUAUUAGAAACCCCAGUAGUCC